GAUGAACGCUGGCGGCGUGCCUAAUACAUGCAAGUCGAGCGAACAGACGAGGAGCUUGCUCCUCUGACGUUAGCGGCGGACGGGUGAGUAACACGUGGAUAACCUACCUAUAAGACUGGGAUAACUUCGGGAAACCGGAGCUAAUACCGGAUAAUAUAUUGAACCGCAUGGUUCAAUAGUGAAAGACGGUUUUGCUGUCACUUAUAGAUGGAUCCGCGCCGCAUUAGCUAGUUGGUAAGGUAACGGCUUACCAAGGCGACGAUGCAUAGCCGACCUGAGAGGGUGAUCGGCCACACUGGAACUGAGACACGGUCCAGACUCCUACGGGAGGCAGCAGUAGGGAAUCUUCCGCAAUGGGCGAAAGCCUGACGGAGCAACGCCGCGUGAGUGAUGAAGGUCUUCGGAUCGUAAAACUCUGUUAUUAGGGAAGAACAUAUGUGUAAGUAACUAUGCACGUCUUGACGGUACCUAAUCAGAAAGCCACGGCUAACUACGUG
Molecule: ribosomal RNA, 497 nt
Filed under: uncultured bacterium
Lineage: Bacteria
Description: partial 16S ribosomal RNA
Rfam family: Bacterial small subunit ribosomal RNA
Source: RNAcentral